AGUGAACGCUGGCGGUGUGCCUAACACGUGCAAGUCGAACGGCAGCACAGUAAGAUCUUUCUCUUACGGUUGGCGAGGGGCGGAUGGGUGACACAUACAUCGGAUUCUUCUUUUUCUUGGGUGAUAACGGGGAGAAACUUACGCUAAUACCGCAUAUAAUCUACGGCAUAGUUCAGUGGUUCUUGGGGGUUUUCGCGUUUCUAUUAGCCGAUGUCGGAUUAGCUAGUUGGCGUGGUAACGUCUCACCAAGGCGACGAUCCGUAGCGGGUCUGAGAGGAUGAUCAGCCACACUGGAACUGAGACACGGUCCAGACUCCUACGGGAGGCAGCAGUGGGGAAUCUUGGACAAUGGGCGAAAGCCUGACCGAGCAAUGCCGCGUGGGUGAAGAAGGCCUUCGGGUUGUAAAGCCCUUUUGUUGGGAAAGAAAAACUGCAGAUUAAUACAUGGAUGUUUUGACGGCACCCAAUGAAUAAGCAACGGCUAACUUCGUG
This 492-nucleotide ribosomal RNA is filed under the name uncultured bacterium. RNAcentral describes it as "partial 16S ribosomal RNA". It matches the Rfam family "Bacterial small subunit ribosomal RNA", at positions 29 to 507 of the family's 1533-position model. The record is from RNAcentral.